RNAcentral lists this ribosomal RNA (271 nucleotides) under uncultured archaeon. RNAcentral describes it as "partial 16S ribosomal RNA". It matches the Rfam family "Archaeal small subunit ribosomal RNA", at positions 477 to 747 of the family's 1478-position model. The record is from RNAcentral.
CAGCGCCACGAGUGGCAUCCGCAAUUGUUGGGCCUAAAGCGUCCGUAGCAUGCUUUGUUAAUCUUUUGUGAAAUCAUGGGGCUUAACUCCAUGACGUGCAGGAGACACUGCAGAGCUAGGAACCGGGAGGAGUCAGAGGUAUUCUGGGGGGAGCGGUAAAAUGUUAUAAUCCCCGGAGGACCACCUGUGGCGAAGGCGUCUGACUAGAACGGAUUCGACUGUGAGGGACGAAAGCUGGGGGAGCAAACCGGAUUAGAGACCCGAGUAGUCC